RNAcentral lists this ribosomal RNA (327 nucleotides) under uncultured eukaryote. RNAcentral's name for it is "partial 18S ribosomal RNA". It matches the Rfam family "Eukaryotic small subunit ribosomal RNA", at positions 1470 to 1796 of the family's 1831-position model. The record is from RNAcentral.
CCCUUAGAUGUUCUGGGCCGCACACGCGCUACACUGAAGGAGGCAGCGUGUACUCCUGGAUCGAAAGAUUUGGGUAACCCGCGAAUCUCCUUCGUGCUAGGGAUUGAGGUUUGCAAUUAUCCUUCAUGAACGAGGAAUUCCCAGUAAGUGCAAGUCAUAAGCUUGCGCUGACUACGUCCCUGCCCUUUGUACACACCGCCCGUCGCUACUACCGAUUGAAUGAUUUAGUGAGGACUUCGGACUGGGACCGAUGCGGCUUUCGGGCUGCGUCGGUAUUCUGGAAAGAUGUCCAAACUGUAUCAUUUAGAGGAAGUAAAAGUCGAANCA